CCUGGUUGAUCCUGCCAGUAGCAUGUUUGUCUCAGAGAUUAAGCCAUGCAUGUCUAAGUAUGCAUGGCUGGUACAGUGAAACUGCGAAUGGCUCAUUAAAUCAGUUAUGGUUCCUUUAGUUGCUCACUCCUCUUCUACCUGGAUAACUUAAUUUUAGAGGUAGUACAAGCUGACAGAUGCUGAACCCUUCGUGGCGGAUGCAUGCAGUUAUCAGAUCAAAACCAACCCGGUUAGCCCCUCUCUGGCCCCAGUUGGGGGGUGGGCGCCUGCGGCUUUCGGGACUGUAGAUAACCUCCGUCCCAUCACACACCCCCCGUGGCAGUGACAACCCAUUCAAAUGUCUGCCCUAUCAACUUUUGAUGGCAGUUGCCAUGCUAACCAUGGUGCCCAUGGGUGACGGCAUCAGGGUUCAUUUCCAGAGAUGGAGCCUGAAAAAUGGCGACCACAUCCAGGGAAGGCAGCAGGCAUGCAAGUUACCUACUCCGGACCUGGGGAGGUAGUGAUGAAAAAUAAUACAGGACUCUUUUGAGGUCCUGUAAUGGGAAUGAGUCCACUUUAAAUCCUUUAAUGAGGAUCCAUUGGAGGGCAAGUCUGAUGCCAGUAGCUGCAGUAAUUCCAGCUCCAAUAGCGUAUAUUAAAGAUACUGCAGUUAAAAAGCUCCUAGUUGGAUCUUGGGGGCUGGUGGUGCCAACGCUAUGCUCUUAGCUGAGUGUACUGUGGGGCCGAAGUGUUUGAAAAAAUUAGUGUUCAAAGCAGGCCUGAGCCACCUGGAAGAGGACCGUGGUUCUAUUUUGUGGGUUUUUCAACUGAGGCCAUGAUUAAGAGGGACGGCUGGCAGGCUUUCGUAUUGUGCCACUAGAGACAAGAUGGACCAGAGUGAAAGCAUUUCCCAAGAAUAUUUUCAUUAAUCAAGAACGAAAGUCGGAGGUUUGAAGAUGAUCAGAUACCAUCGUAGUUCCGACCAUAAACAAUACUGAUUGGUGAUGCAGCGGCAUUAUUCCCAUGACCUGCCAGGCAGCUUCUGUGAAACCAAAGUCUUUGGGUUCUGGGGGAAGUAUGGUUGCAAAGCUGAAACUUAAAGGAAUUAAUGGAUGGGCACCACCAGGAGUGGAGCCUGUGGCUUAAUUUGACUCAACACGGGAAACCUCACCCAGACAUGGACAGGAUUGACAGCUCUUGAUUCCGUGAGUGGUGGUGCAUGGCUGUUCUUGGUGCAGCGAUUUGUCUGCCUAAUUCCGAUAAUAAACGAGACUCUGGCAUGCUAACUAGUUAUGCGACCCCAGAGUGGUCAGCGUCCUCAAACUUCUUAGAGGGACAAGUGGCAUUCAGCCACCCGAGAUUGAGCAAUAACAGGUCUGUGAUGCCCUUAGAUGUCUGGGGCUGCACGUGCAUUACACUGGCUCAGUGUGUGCCUAGCCUAUGCUGGCGGGUACGGGUAACCCCUUGAACCCCAUUUGUGAUGGGGAUGGGGGAUUGCAAUUAUUCCCCAUGAAUGAGCAAUUCCCAGUAAGUGUGGGUCAUAAGCUUGCGUUAAGUCCCUGCCCUUUGUACCACACCGCCAGUCGCUAAUACCGAUUGGAUGGUUUAGUGAGACCCUCAGAUACCAAAUCGACCUCGUAGGACUCUUAGCAGUGGAUCACUCAGCUCGUGCAUCGAAGAAUGCAGCUAGUUGUGAGAAUUUGAAUUGCAGGACACGUUGAUCAUCGACACUUC
RNAcentral lists this ribosomal RNA (1713 nucleotides) under Pongo abelii (Sumatran orangutan). RNAcentral's name for it is "SSU rRNA". It matches the Rfam family "Eukaryotic small subunit ribosomal RNA". The record is from RNAcentral. Lineage: Eukaryota; Metazoa; Chordata; Mammalia; Primates; Hominidae.